This 71-nucleotide transfer RNA is filed under the name Stegodyphus mimosarum. It matches the Rfam family "tRNA". Rfam says of the family: Transfer RNA (tRNA) molecules are approximately 80 nucleotides in length. Their secondary structure includes four short double-helical elements and three loops (D, anti-codon, and T loops). The record is from Rfam by way of RNAcentral. Lineage: Eukaryota; Metazoa; Arthropoda; Arachnida; Araneae; Eresidae.
GCUUUCAUGUUGUAACGGUAGCACACUCGGCGCGUGUUCGAGAGGUCCAGGUUCAAAUCCCGGCGAGGGCA